UCCAGACUCCUACGGGAGGCAGCAGUGGGGGAUAUUGCACAAUGGGGGGAACCCUGAUGCAGCGACGCCGCGUGGGUGAAGGAGCGUUUCGGCGCGUAAAGCCCUAUCGGCAGGGAAGAAGGAGGACGGUACCUGAAUAAGAAGCCCCGGCUAACUACGUGCCAGCAGCCGCGGGAAUACGUAGGGGGCGAGCGUUAUCCGGAUUCACUGGGUGUAAAGGGAGCGUAGACGGCCAAGCAAGCCAGGGGUGAAAGCCCGGGGCCCAACCCCGGGACUGCUCUUGGAACUGCGUGGCUGGAGUGCAGGAGGGGCAGGCGGAAUUCCUGGUGUAGCGGUGAAAUGCGUAGAUAUCAGGAGGAACACCGGUGGCGAAGGCGGCCUGCUGGACUGCAACUGACGUUGAGGCCCGAAAGCGUGGGGAGCAAACAGGAUUAGAUACCCCAGUA
RNAcentral lists this ribosomal RNA (446 nucleotides) under uncultured bacterium. RNAcentral's name for it is "partial 16S ribosomal RNA". It matches the Rfam family "Bacterial small subunit ribosomal RNA", at positions 330 to 792 of the family's 1533-position model. The record is from RNAcentral.